RNAcentral lists this ribosomal RNA (506 nucleotides) under uncultured bacterium. RNAcentral describes it as "bacterial SSU rRNA". It matches the Rfam family "Bacterial small subunit ribosomal RNA", at positions 21 to 518 of the family's 1533-position model. The record is from RNAcentral.
GGCUCAGGAUGAACGCUAGCUACAGGCUUAACACAUGCAAGUCGAGGGGCAGCAUGAAGUUGCUGCAAACUUGAUGGCGACCGGCGCACGGGUGAGUAACGCGUAUCCAACCUGGCCCGCAGUAGGGAACAGCCCGGCGAAAGUCGGAUUAAUGCCCUAUGUCUUCCUUUGCAGGCAUCCAAUGAGGAAGAAAGAUUUAUCGCUGCGGGAUGGGGAUGCGUCUGAUUAGCUUGUCGGCGGGGUAACGGCCCACCGAGGCGACGAUCAGUAGGGGUUCUGAGAGGAAGGUCCCCCACACUGGUACUGAGACACGGACCAGACUCCACGGGAGGCAGCAGUGAGGAAUAUUGGUCAAUGGGCGAGAGCCUGAACCAGCCAAGUAGCGUGCAGGAACCGACUGCCCUAUGGGUUGUAAACUGCUUUUAUGCGGGGAUAAACUUCAGCACGUGUGCUGUUUUGCAGGUACCGCAUGAAUAAGGACCGGCUAAUUCCGUGCCAGCCGCGGC